UAACCUUUGACUUGAAAACAAUA
This 23-nucleotide small nuclear RNA is filed under the name Arabidopsis thaliana (thale cress). RNAcentral's name for it is "snRNA_12073". Lineage: Eukaryota; Viridiplantae; Streptophyta; Magnoliopsida; Brassicales; Brassicaceae. The record is from RNAcentral.